Molecule: ribosomal RNA, 464 nt
Filed under: Vreelandella stevensii
Lineage: Bacteria; Pseudomonadati; Pseudomonadota; Gammaproteobacteria; Oceanospirillales; Halomonadaceae
Description: partial 16S ribosomal RNA
Rfam family: Bacterial small subunit ribosomal RNA
Source: RNAcentral
CCUACGUGUGGCAGCAGUGGGGAAUAUUGGACAAUGGGCGAAAGCCUGAUCCAGCCAUGCCGCGUGUGUGAAGAAGGCCUUCGGGUUGUAAAGCACUUUCAGUGGGGAAGAAAGCCUUGGGGCUAAUACCCUCGAGGAAGGACAUCACCCACAGAAGAAGCACCGGCUAACUCCGUGCCAGCAGCCGCGGUAAUACGGAGGGUGCGAGCGUUAAUCGGAAUUACUGGGCGUAAAGCGCGCGUAGGCGGUCUGAUAAGCCGGUUGUGAAAGCCCCGGGCUCAACCUGGGAACGGCAUCCGGAACUGUCAGGCUAGAGUGCAGGAGAGGAAGGUAGAAUUCCCGGUGUAGCGGUGAAAUGCGUAGAGAUCGGGAGGAAUACCAGUGGCGAAGGCGGCCUUCUGGACUGACACUGACGCUGAGGUGCGAAAGCGUGGGUAGCAAACAGGAUUAGAUACCCCGUAGUC